Molecule: long non-coding RNA, 1275 nt
Organism: Amphiprion ocellaris (clown anemonefish)
Lineage: Eukaryota; Metazoa; Chordata; Actinopteri; Pomacentridae
Source: Ensembl
AAAAUAUUAUUUAAAUUGACAUCAUUAUUAUAAUAUUUAGGGUCAGACCCUACAGUAUUGAGAUUAAGAAAUCAAAUAUUCUAUAAACUGAACUCAUUUGGAUAUAUUUAAGUGAGACUCUACAAUAUUAUUUGACACAAAUCUAUCUAAAUUUUAAUCAUUUUUAUUCCAAACAUUUACUGGCCUGAUUUAAAUAUUAAAAUCACUCCUUUCUAAUCCUCUGCUGUACGUUCAAACCUGAGGCCUUAAAUAGAAACACACAAGUAUCUGUUUGAAGGAACUUCUGCAGAGUCCUGGUUCCAGAACAUGAUGAUAGAAUUAUAGACAAACUUUAACAAAAGCUGCCUGAGAGUUUACAGGUUUUUAUGUUGGAUUUCUUCAGUAAUUUAAUGAGCGUUAUCAGCAAAAAUCAAGUGUUCAUUUGAUGAACUUAAUUUCCUAAAACAUCCAGAAUUGGAGCUCAUAUCUUUGGCAGCUGUAAAGUUUCUGCUCCUUCAAAGUUCACAACACAAUGAAUGAAUUCCUAAAACACUCUCAAUGCUGGAGAGCGUUUGUGAUGCUGAAGCAGUGAUCAGUUUUUCUGUUUCUUCUCUGGAGAUGCACAAUGAGGGACGUCUGCAGAGACUGAGAAAGAGUCUCACCACAUCCUGACAUGAGGAAAAAGACUUUAUUGAAGACUACAAUGAGAAAAACUAUCAGACAGCAGACGGCAUGCAUUCAAGAGAAGAAGACCAUCAAACAUCCACGUCAGCUGAUGGAGGUCCAAGAGUCUCACCGAACAACCAACCUACAGAGUGAAGACCUCGAAUCUGAUUGGACGGCCUCCUAUUCAGCCACAUGUGUGAACAAAUGCCUCUAAGCUGAUUUGUUUUCUAAAAUAAAUCUAGUUUGAGUCCUAAUCUAUGCCUGUGUGUUUGCUUCUUUACACCACUGUUAACAGUUUAGGCUGUUAGAUUGUUCCAGAUAAGACAAGUACAAGAUUCUUCAGAGCCGUUCUACCACGAGCCUGACAGGAAGAACUCCAACAGCUACUGAAUGUUCCUGUGCUUCCCUCAAGGCUACAGGAGGAGCCCUACGAGGACGAGCUGGUCCACCUGAUGGCGGCCAGUCGCUGCGGUUCAAAGCCAACACCGACUACGUGGACUUCUACUGGACCACACGGAGGCCUUCAAACCGGACCAACAAGUUCAGCGACUCCCCGACUUGUGGGUCUGAGGACGCCGCCGAGCCUCGGUCCAGCCGGCCUCCUGUCUGUGGGUGUUUGAGUGCUGAGAG